Molecule: long non-coding RNA, 365 nt
Organism: Centruroides sculpturatus (bark scorpion)
Lineage: Eukaryota; Metazoa; Arthropoda; Arachnida; Scorpiones; Buthidae
Exons: 2
Source: RefSeq, a predicted model, not a curated record
UAUAUAUAUUUCCACACUUGUAUAUAACUUUUAUAAAUAAAUAAAUUAAUAAUUUUUUUAUUUCAUACAGGCUGUUGAUGCCAAAACAAUUCGUGAAGUUUGUACUAAAUAUAUCUAUGAUAGAUGUCCUGUUGUUGCAGCUGUUGGACCAACCGAAGGACUUACUGACUAUAACAGAAUUCGAUCAGGAAUGUAUUGGAUACGCGUGUAGUAUACUAUUUGAAAGAAAAAUAGUAAUACAUUAAAUUAAAAGUCAGAAUAGUAUGAAAGUUUUAUUACAAAACAGAUAUUUUAUUUAACUUCAGAAAAAGUUAUGUAAGAUGAUCAAAUGUGAAUAAUUAUAAAUAAACUUAUAUUAAAACUUA